Molecule: long non-coding RNA, 201 nt
Filed under: Mytilus galloprovincialis (Mediterranean mussel)
Lineage: Eukaryota; Metazoa; Mollusca; Bivalvia; Mytilida; Mytilidae
Source: RNAcentral
CAGCAAGGCGUAAUAGUAAUCUAGACACUGACAUUGAGAUGAAAAAAUCGUAAAAUCAAACAUGACAAUAAAUCGAAUAUUUUUGUAAUUCUACAGUUAUAAACUAAGCAUAUAAUCAUGUCUACAGAAAUAAAGUAUAACAAAAUAAUUAUAAGUACUAGCAAUUUAUUUAACAUAAAAUAGACACCAACAUAGAUCUCA